CUUUUGGAGCCUGUCUAUAAUCCCAGCAGUUUGGAAGGCUGAGGCAGGAGGAUCACAUGUUCAAAGCCAGACUUAGAAAUUGGUCUCUAAGUAAAAUUUUUAAAAGGGCUGGGAAUGUUGCUCAGUGGUUAAGCUCCCCUGGGUUCAAUCCCUGGUACCGAAAAGAAACAAAGAAAAAUUGUCUUUUCUAAGAAUCUAUUGUUCAAUGCAGGGUCAUGAGAUUUUUACAUGAUUUUUGCUAAGAAUCUUGUAGUUUCAAUUCUCAUAUUUACACAUUUCUUCCAUUUAAAAUCAAUUGUGUAAAGUGUGAGAUAGUGUUUGAGAUUGUGUUCCAUGUUUUAUAUGGAUGGAUAGUUGUUCCAGAUGAUUUGAAACCAUUUUUCCUAUAACGUCUUGGCAUUCUCCUUGAAAAAUAAUCGACCAUAAAUAUAAGGAUCUAUUUCUAAAUUCUAUUCCAUUUACUUAUAUCUUUUUGCAGUAAUGAAUUUGAAUCUAGGAGCACUCUACCACUGAGAUUUAUCCCCAGUUCAUUUUUUUGUUUUGUUUUGUUUUGUUUUGAGACAAGAUCUUGCUAUGUUCCCAAGGGUUACCUCAAAGUGUCAAUUCUCCUGUCUCAGUCACCUGAGUUGCAGGUACUAUAGGCAUCCACAACCACGCCUGGCAAUAUUAUUCCAUUUAAUCAUUUUGUAUGUGUGACUCAGUACUGAUUACAGUAACAUUUUAAAAAUAGCUUUGAUGAAGAUGUACUAAAUAUACAUAAUAAAUUGUCUCUGCAUGGUAUUUUAACACAUAUGCCAUAUCCACUGAUGAAAUUCUGUUCUCAUUCCCCACCUCCACUCUUUAACCUUUAAAAAUC
This 856-nucleotide long non-coding RNA is filed under the name Marmota monax (woodchuck). The record is from RNAcentral. Lineage: Eukaryota; Metazoa; Chordata; Mammalia; Rodentia; Sciuridae.